This 74-nucleotide ribosomal RNA is filed under the name uncultured Tuber. RNAcentral's name for it is "partial 18S ribosomal RNA". It matches the Rfam family "Eukaryotic small subunit ribosomal RNA", at positions 1755 to 1830 of the family's 1831-position model. The record is from RNAcentral. Lineage: Eukaryota; Fungi; Ascomycota; Pezizomycetes; Pezizales; Tuberaceae.
AGGUGCAAAGUUUGGUCAAAGUAACAAGAAAGUCGUAACAAGGUUUCCGUAGGUGAACCUGCGGAAGGAUCAUU